Molecule: long non-coding RNA, 455 nt
Filed under: Bos taurus (domestic cattle)
Lineage: Eukaryota; Metazoa; Chordata; Mammalia; Artiodactyla; Bovidae
Description: long non-coding RNA NONBTAT004991
Source: RNAcentral
UGGCAAAGGAUGACUGAGUCGCUGGCGACACUUAGGGCUGAGCCUUAAUUCCUUAGUCCUGAUAUCAUUUCUUUGCCCUUCCCAGAAGGAGGCAUCUGAUUAAAGGGAAGAAAACUUUUUCACUAAUAACACAUUGGCCUCAUCUAACUCCCUGCGUCUUUAAUUAAUGUUUACAAACACUUUAAUCUACACCACUUACUACUUAAUUAGGCAAGUAUUAUUACCCCCUCUUUCUGAACCAAAUCCAGAAGAGACUUAAAUCCUUAAUCCUCCUUAAAUAAUGCACCUAAGCUUUCUGUCCAUGUUCUUUUUAUGUCCUCUUUUGUACCAUUUGUUAAACAUUAAUGUAUUUAUCAUGAAUUGGCUUAGUAAAAAAAAAAAAUUAAAUAGCCACGGGUGGGAGGUAAUAUAGGCAACCUCUAUCUUUCAUAAAUUCAGAUUUUAAAAAGACAUUA